This is a long non-coding RNA of Oncorhynchus tshawytscha (Chinook salmon), 596 nucleotides long. The record is from Ensembl. NCBI's taxonomy places the organism in Eukaryota, Metazoa, Chordata, Actinopteri, Salmoniformes, Salmonidae.
CAGUACACAUCAGAAUGUUACUGCAGUACAUACCAGAAUGUUACUGCAGUACAUAUCAGAAUGUUACUGACAGUACAUAUCAGAAUGUUACUGACAGUACAUAUCAGAAUGUUACUGACAGUACAUAUCAGAAUGUUACUGCAGUACAUAUCAGAAUGUUACUGACAGUACAUAUCAGAAUGUUACUGACAGUACAUAUCAGAAUGUUACUGACAGUACAUAUCAGAAUGUUACUGACAUACAUAUCAGAAUGUCCCUUCUGUGUCUCUGAUAGGAUUAUAACAUGCUGUUACUGCAGUACAUGUCAGAAUGUCACUGCAGUACAUGUCAGAAUGUUACUGCAGUACAUAUCAGAAUGUUACUGCAGUACAUACCAGAAUGUUACUGCAGUACAUAUCAGAAUGUUACUGCAGUACAUAUCAGAAUGUUACUGCAGUACAUAUCAGAAUGUUACUGACAGUACAUAUCAGAAUGUUCCUGCAGUACAUAUCAGAAUGUUACUGCAGUACAUAUCAGAAUGUUACUGACAUACAUAUCAGAAUGUUACUGACAGUACAUAUCAGAAUGUUCCUGCAGUACAUAUCAGAAUGUUACUG